Molecule: ribosomal RNA, 454 nt
Filed under: uncultured Prevotella sp.
Lineage: Bacteria; Pseudomonadati; Bacteroidota; Bacteroidia; Bacteroidales; Prevotellaceae
Description: partial 16S ribosomal RNA
Rfam family: Bacterial small subunit ribosomal RNA
Source: RNAcentral
ACGGAAGGCAGCAGUGAGGAAUAUUGGUCAAUGGGCGGAAGCCUGAACCAGCCAAGUCGCGUGAAGGAUGAAGGUAUUAUGUAUUGUAAACUUCUUUAGCCAGGGGGCAAUAAGGCGUACGCGUACGCCGAUGAGAGUACCUGGAGAAUAAGGAUCGGCUAACUCCGUGCCAGCAGCCGCGGUAAUACGGAGGAUCCGAGCGUUAUCCGGAUUUAUUGGGUUUAAAGGGAGCGUAGGCCGUGCUUUAAGCGUGUUGUGAAAUGUAGGCGCCCAACGUCUGCACUGCAGCGCGAACUGGAGCACUUGAGUACGCAGGAAGUAGGCGGAAUUCGUCGUGUAGCGGUGAAAUGCUUAGAUAUGACGAAGAACUCCGAUUGGGAAGCCAGCUUACUGUAGCGCCACUGACGCUGAUGCUCGAAAGCGUGGGUAUCGAACAGGAUUAGAUACCCUGGUA